RNAcentral lists this ribosomal RNA (254 nucleotides) under uncultured bacterium. RNAcentral describes it as "partial 16S ribosomal RNA". It matches the Rfam family "Bacterial small subunit ribosomal RNA", at positions 524 to 776 of the family's 1533-position model. The record is from RNAcentral.
UACGUAGGGUGCAAGCGUUUGUCCGGAAUUAUUGGGCGUAAAGAGCUCGUAGGCGGUCUGUCGCGUCGGCUGUGAAAUCCCGAGGCUCAACCUCGGGUCUGCAGUCGAUACGGGCAAACUAGAGUAUUGCAGGGGAGACUGGAAUUCCUGGUGUAGCGGUGAAAUGCGCAGAUAUCAGGAGGAACACCGGUGGCGAAGGCGGGUCUCUGGGCAAUAACUGACGCUGAGGAGCGAAAGCGUGGGGAGCGAACAGG